RNAcentral lists this microRNA (21 nucleotides) under Populus tomentosa. RNAcentral describes it as "pto-smR10". Lineage: Eukaryota; Viridiplantae; Streptophyta; Magnoliopsida; Malpighiales; Salicaceae. The record is from RNAcentral.
UGUUACCGGCUGCAUCUUUCA